Onthophagus taurus is the source of this 1378-nucleotide long non-coding RNA. RefSeq lists it as uncharacterized. NCBI's taxonomy places the organism in Eukaryota, Metazoa, Arthropoda, Insecta, Coleoptera, Scarabaeidae. The record is from RefSeq and is a predicted model, not a curated record.
UCUUGUGUUAGUUCUAGUGAUAGUGCUAGUGCAAAACUAGAACUAACCCAAGAUCUAGAAGAGAUGUGCGGCUUCGCAACCUCAAUUUGAUUUUAAUGCAUGACGAUAAUCCUGAAGAUGAUUAUAUGAUCGAAACACAGAAACUCAAUGCUCACCUUGCUUUACGAAUAUAAAGAAUUUUUUUUAUUGAAAAAUAAAGUUGAUAAUAUCGAUAAUAAUUGGGUUGUCAUUGAAAGUUUUGGAAGAUGCCGAGACGUGAAUCAUGAAGGGUCCGCAAUAAAGUGUAGGAUUUGGACAGGCUUCCGUACGUUAAGGAAUGCAAGGAGGUAUGGCGAGGAUCCAAACGAGUACGGUGGAAGGUGAUGCGGACACGCAAUAAAAAGGACACGAUGGACUAUGUGAAGUGGUAGAAGGUGACCGGUAGUGGUUUGUCGUGGCGCAUCUGGAGUGGAAUUAAACAACGAAAAUAUAAAAUAUCGUUCUAUUAUGGCAUACUACUUUCCACGGCCUACCCACGCGACAAAUCAUUAAGCGGCCGGAGAAACCAUGUCGAGCGUUAGCCGACGUGUGUAGUCGAGCUCUCUGGCCCCCCUCGUCCUUCGUCUGUCAAGUAUCCCCGCGGUCGCCCCUGGAGCCCACAUCGUGCGUCUUUAACCACCCGAAGGUCCCACAGGAUGGACUCUUUCGCAACCCCCAUGUUCACGACGUACCCAAACACAUAUUACACCCUGGACGCAGUUAUCGAACCCGGGACGAUGCUGGGGGCUCUCUUUCGCACAUGUGCGCACUUCGAACCGAGCAGACGAAGAACAACGUGAGUGAGAUGGACGCACACGCGUAGGAGUCCCCAGCGCAUAUUUUAUUACUUAUUGGCAGUGCGCGAGUCUACCAGACCGCGACUUAGACCACGUAAUCUGCGACUUAAAUAUCGGCCCGAACGACGAUUUCUGGAACGCCUCCCGGAAAACAAUUACGUUGUUGUUUGUCAUCUGACCGUGAUUCGAAAUAAGAAAAAUCCAACCGAUAUUAGAAAACGCAUUGUACUAAUUGAAAAACAGGUAUAAAAUGAGCGAUUGGAUCUGGGCAACGGCCAGAGCGGUUGGCUCAGCUGUUAUCACCUGUUAGGCUCGGCAUGGCGCCAGCAGCCCACGCAUCUACCUCUUUCUCGGACCCCCUUCGCUCCUCACCGGUCUUUUAAUAUUUUAAAAUUGGCAGUUAUUUACUGAAUUGCUCUUACACCGUAGAAUUCCAUUGGGGGUUUCGUCUGUUCAACGCUAUCUUGUUUUUAACUUUAAAUUAUCUUUGUACAAACUUUUUCCUUUAUUUUUCAAACAAACUUUAUGGAAUGAUGUAUAAAAUAUAGAUACGUUUACACAUU